Molecule: long non-coding RNA, 407 nt
Organism: Archocentrus centrarchus (flier cichlid)
Lineage: Eukaryota; Metazoa; Chordata; Actinopteri; Cichliformes; Cichlidae
Exons: 4
Source: RefSeq, a predicted model, not a curated record
AAGGAUUAUCACCAACCACCAAAGCCUCCUCCUCACUGACAGGAGUGCUGUGUACAUUUCAUGCUGUUAUAACUGAGGCCAAACACUUCAGUCAGAGUGGAGACACUGAAGAGACUAAAGAAGAAGAGACAACAGGAGUCACUGUCUCAUUGUAAUGCACCCAGUAAGGUCAGCAGGAACACCUCCUCACAUGUUCGCCCGCCUUCCCAGAGAGGAGCUCAUGAUUCACAGAAACAGCCGUCAGAGACGCAGCUCCAACACGAGGAGAGGGAGAAGAUGAUUCAGCUCCUUCUGUUUUUCAGCACGAUGUCCUCCGUCUGGAUGUUUGUUGUUAAAAAGGCUCCGACUGUCUAUCAGGCAGAGGAGGAAGGCAACAUCACCAUCAGAUGGGACAGUCGGAUCCAAAC